CUCCAGGUGGCUGGGCCUCCAGAGCAGCUUCCUUUAGCCAUUGUCUUCUCCAGAGGCCCCAUGCUCCACGGCAACCCCAACCUUGGCCUCCAGCUUCUGUGAGCCCCCCCCCCCCCCACCAACCCUGACUCUGCUCCAUUGGCAGCAGCCACAGCCCUCACCCCCAAACAGCUCCACUCGCCCAAGCAGGCCUGAGCACCUCGCCCGGGCACACACACCCCGCAGCACAGAAGCUCUGCCUCCCGGAGCUGGUUUCCUCUUACAGGCUCCUGUCAGAGCUGUUGGGGCUGUGGCGGCGCUUGCCUGCGGCUCCCAGUGCAGCCCUGGGUCUCCCUGCAGCGUGUGCGGCAAGCUGUGAACCGGCCUUCUCUUCCCUUCCCGCAAAGGUCAAGCCAUCUCCUCCAGCAUGGCCGUGGUGCACUUCUGGCCGCAGAGCUCCUACGCUGCAGCCUGGGAGUCAGAAGCAAGCAAACCGUCCAGGACUGAGAAUUCAGAGGCCUCGGGUAUCAGGUCAGCGGCGGCGCCCCAAAGAGAGACCCCAAGAGAGGCCUUUCUUCCGCCGCAACCCCAGGGAGGCUACUGAGUUCUGCAAAGCCGCAGGAAGACUACAACAUCCCGAUGUGGAGAAAAAUGAGAGGAAACGCCAUUAAACUUGCUUCCUCCAAGGGGCACUACCCCCAGUUUUCUCUGAACUGUACCUAAAAAGUCAGGAGAGAGAACUCAUUCACUUUUGUUUGGUUUAACAUUGCCAGCUUCAAGUCAACCGUGGGCCCCCCGAAGGUUUCGUAAAAUAUUUAAUCUAGCUCAGACAAUUUCCUGCAGUCCCUAACCGGACCACCCCACUUACUGAACAACUGCCAAAAAGCAGGCUUGGCUGCGGGCUGGCAACCGCGGGCCUUCCAGCGGCCUGGCCGGCCUGUACCCUGCACGCAGGAGCCUGGACAAGGCCCUUCACAGAAUCCAGGGACACCAGGUCUGGGUUACCUGGGAGGCCCAAAGCGGUAAGGAAGGAAGAAGCCCAGGAAAUGAAGUUAAAGACACUUGCUUUUCUCACUAAGCUUGUGCUGUCUGUAUGACCCGCUGGCCCUCACCCUCCCCGAAGUCUGUGAAAUGGGCCUGUGGAUGUCUCACCUCUCUGGCGUGCUCUGCGUUUUGGAGAGCAGCACUGGGGGGGGGGGGGGACUCCCUGUGUGCCUCCCUGCGCCCUCUACUCUCAUCCCUUCGCUGUUUUCCUCCCAAACAUCUCACCAGGGAACCUAGCCAGCCAGAAAGGGAUCCUUCGACUGCGCUGAGCCUCAGCCCCUUCCAAACGUGAGGCUCACGGGGAGAACUCCUGCUCUGCCCAGUUUCCAUUCCUGCUUCCAGAAUAACGAGCCGAAAACAUGUGUACUGUAAAUAAAGCCUGUCUAAAUAAAGCACUCGGGUAAAGGCUGCCGAGAAAACA
Molecule: long non-coding RNA, 1444 nt
Organism: Herpailurus yagouaroundi (jaguarundi)
Lineage: Eukaryota; Metazoa; Chordata; Mammalia; Carnivora; Felidae
Exons: 2
Source: RefSeq, a predicted model, not a curated record